Non-coding RNA from Chrysemys picta bellii (western painted turtle), 907 nucleotides. The record is from RefSeq and is a predicted model, not a curated record. NCBI's taxonomy places the organism in Eukaryota, Metazoa, Chordata, Testudines, Emydidae.
AGGGGACCGGGGCGGCUGCUGCGCCUCGCCUCCCUGUGCAGCUCUAGGCAGGUGCCUGUUUAGAGUCUCUCUACACUGGGCCCAGGCCGCCGCCAGGUCUCUGUACAGCGCCAGGCAGCCGCCCGGCUGAUACUGGCUGGCUGCUAUCAUAACCUGAACAACCUUUAAAACAAACAAUUUAUACUGAAGGUUGGCUGUCAUAAUUAACAGGGAUGUUCUUGAACUCUGCAUCACCCAAGCACUCUGAAGUUAAUAAUCCUUCCUAAAGGUUUAUCGCAGUUUACAUCGUGUCACAAGAAAUUGACCAGUAUGACUCCAAACGUUGUCUUCAAAACACAAUUUCAACAUUUCGGUAAAAUCCGUUUGAAUAAAUGUUAUUGUCCAGCAGAGGACGCUGUUUGGUUACGGAUGCAAUUUUCUCUGUUUAUAUGCAAUGACUGAUACAAUUGAGUGUACUUUGAAAUCCCCUUCCAGACAUUAUUUUAUUUUAGGCUCAUUAGUGUGAAAUUCCAUUUUAAAUAGCAUAGCCUGACUCUGAAAACUUCACUGACAGCAUAAAUUCCUGCUCAGCUGUAUUAAGCAAAACACUCAAGUUUAAAUUCCAGAGACGCGUUGUGUCUUUUGACUGGUUGCUACCUGUAUUUUACAACAUAAUGGUAUCUUUGGGGUAAUAUAACUGCUAUCCCUGGGGGCUCUCAUGAAAAUGAGAUGUACAUCUCAUGAGGCUGUUUCUGUGACUGCACCCCCUCCAAAAUAAAUAAGAAUAUGCUACAAAUAAUCAUACUUAGCAGUUUUUAUUUUCAAAAGAACUAAACAAACAUUAACAAAUUGGUCCUCAUACCACCAUAGGAGGUGAAUAUUUUUUUAUCUCCAUGUCACAGAUUGGGGGAAAGUGAGGGAGAGAGGU